Molecule: ribosomal RNA, 407 nt
Filed under: uncultured bacterium
Lineage: Bacteria
Description: partial 16S ribosomal RNA
Rfam family: Bacterial small subunit ribosomal RNA
Source: RNAcentral
AUUGAACGCUGGCGGCAGGCCUAACACAUGCAAGUCGAGCGGAGCGGCGGACGGGGGAGUAAUGCCUAGGAAUCUGCCUGGUAGUGGGGGAUAACGUACGGAAACGGGAGCUAAUACCGCAUACUAUCAGAUAGGCCUAGGUAGGGUUAGCUAGUUGGUGGGGUAAAGGCAUACCAAGGCGACGAUCCGUAACUGGUCUGAGAGGAUGAUAAGUCACACUGGAACUGAGACACUGUCCAGACUCCUACGGGAGGCAGCGGUGGGGAAUAUUCGCCAAUGGGCGAAAGCCUGAUCCAGCCAUGCCGCGUGUGUGAUGAAGGUCUUCGGAUUCUAAAGCACUUUAAGUUGGGAGGCGUUACCCGCAGAAGAAGCACCGGCUAACUCCGUGCCAGCAGCCGCGGUAUUAU